This 1188-nucleotide ribosomal RNA is filed under the name Nectoneanthes uchiwa. RNAcentral's name for it is "16S ribosomal RNA". It matches the Rfam family "Bacterial large subunit ribosomal RNA", at positions 578 to 2776 of the family's 2925-position model. Lineage: Eukaryota; Metazoa; Annelida; Polychaeta; Phyllodocida; Nereididae. The record is from RNAcentral.
AACUACCCUACCACAAAUUAACAUUUCUACAUAUAAAAAAUUAAUUUAUACUACAAUUUACACAAACUGCAAAGAAUAUAGAUUUAAACAAAGCAAUAUCCGUGUACCUUUUGCAUCAUGGUAUAACAAGAUAAAUAUUAUAAAUAUUUACCCGAACAUUAUCCGAGCUGAUAUUAUACUGACUAGAUACCAAUGCUACAAUGUUACAAUAUUGUGACAAGAUAUAAUAUCAGAGGCUACAUACCAUCGCGGUAAUAGAUAGCUGGUUACAUAUGUAAACUGAUCUAAGUCAGAACUGCCUAAUGUAAGUUAAUUAUAAAAGGCAAAGCUUUUAUAAUAACACUAUAAAGUAUUAUUAAAGAUAAAAAAUAGGCCUAACAACAGCCACUAAUUCCGUUAUUGGAAUAUAAUUUAAACUUAUUAAUAAUAAAGUAAUUGAAAAUUUGAUAUGUAAUAUUCUAAAUUAAAGAAUAAUAUAUAAUGUUAUAACUAGUAUUUAAACAACACAAGUAUUAUAAUAAAUAAAAUAAAUAAUAAUGAAAUACAAGCCCUAGACAAGGAACUCGGCAAACAUAUAUUCAGCCUGUUUAACAAAAACACCGCCUGUUGAAUAUAUAACAGGUCCAUCCUGCCCAGUGAAAUCAUUUUCAACGGCCGCGGUACCCUGACCGUGCAAAGGUAGCAUAAUCAUUUGCCUUUUAAUUGGAGGCUAGUAUGAAAGGACAAACAAGAAUAUAACUGUCUCCUCUAGGAUAAUAAAAACUGAUAUUAAGGUGCAGAGGCCUUAAUAAUAAUAAAGGACAAGAAGACCCUAUAGAGCUUUACUAAUAAAAGAUAUUAAACUUAAAUAUUAGUUUGGUUGGGGCAACCUAAAUACAAAUUCACCUAUUUAUAAUAAAUAAUAUACACACAACUAAAAAUAAAUUAGAAUUAGCUACCUUAGGGAUAACAGGCUAAUCCCACUAGAGAGACCACAUUGACAGUGGGGGUUGGCACCUCGAUGUUGGCUUAGCGUAACUAUUAGGCGCAGCCGUCUAAUAAAGUUGGUUUGUUCAACCAUUAAACCGCUACAUGAGCUGAGUUCAGACCGGCGUAAGCCAGGUUAGAUUCUAUCCUUAUUAAGAAGAUAAACUAUAGUACGAAAGGACCUAGGGUUAUAAAUUAAAUUUAAAUAAAUAAUUAUUAAUU